Non-coding RNA from Vararia minispora EC-137, 99 nucleotides. The record is from the annotation of a GenBank genome assembly. Lineage: Eukaryota; Fungi; Basidiomycota; Agaricomycetes; Russulales; Lachnocladiaceae.
GCCCUCGUUGUCUAAUGGUCAUGACGUCAGACUUCUACUCGCUUGUUUAUGCAGUGUUGCUGGAUCUGGAGGUUGCGGGUUCGAGUCCCGCCGGGGGUA